Oryza sativa Japonica Group (Japanese rice) is the source of this 1216-nucleotide long non-coding RNA. RefSeq lists it as uncharacterized. The record is from RefSeq and is a predicted model, not a curated record. Lineage: Eukaryota; Viridiplantae; Streptophyta; Magnoliopsida; Poales; Poaceae.
UAUAUAAAAAAUAUUUGAAUUCAAAUUCAAAUUUGAAUCGGAUAUAAUUUAAAUUCAAAUUUGAAUCGGGUAUAUAAACUUUUAACUUAUAAACUUUGAGUCUAUAAACUUUUAAGUGUAUAAACUUAGAUGUAUAGAAAUACUAUAUAUAAAAAUAUUUGAAUUCAAAUUCAAAUUUAAAUCGGAUAUAUAAACUUUUGAUUUAUAAACUUUGGGUCACUAAACUUUAGAUGUGUAAACUUGAGGUGUACAAACUUUAGGUGUAUAAAUUUACUAAAAUAGAAAAGUAAUCCGGUGAGGGAGAGGGGAUCCGAAUCUGAUCGCUAGGGGAUAGAUCGCCCCUUAGCAAUCUCGCAUCUGAAUACCCAUGAAUCAAUUGUGGGCCCGCCCCGGAUUGAAGCCCACAAGAUGCAACGCGGCCCAAAGCUUGGCUCUCGUGAAGCCCAACAAGGCCCAAUGUUGAGAGACCCGGGUCCCAGCGCGGCAGCACCUCCGACUCGCCGUCGCCGGUGUUGGGUGGGUCGCGACGGCGUUCUCUCCCGCCGCCGCCGCCGGUGACCUCGUGCCCCCACCCGAUACUCCCCGGCAGCCGCUCGUGGACCAGAUCGACAGUGUCGCCUGAGAAGCCAACCCUACGGCUACAGCCACUGAGCCACCCUGACAUGAGGGCGAGCGCCGGGAGAACGGAGGAGAAAAAAAAAAGAGAAGAAAACCUCCGUUCCCGGCGACGGAGGAGGUCAGCGUCAGCGGCGGCGGCGUCGUUCCGAUGGCCGACGGGCCUGCCACGGACCCACGGUCUAAUGGAAUGUAUAUUCAGCUCUUUUGAGGAGGCUGGUGGUCUAGUUAACUUGUGUCCUCUCAAAAGGAAAAAUAAAAGAAAGAACAAAGAGCAGCUUUGAAUAGUUUAUGGCUACAACUACAAGGGUCAUGUGUGGUGCAACUUGGGCUGAAGACUGGGGUCUGGGGAUUCAGACUCAAGAUCCUGACGAUGAUGGAAUGGAUGACAAUCCCCUUUUAUGCGAUAGAAAGGUUCAGAUGGUCAGUUCUUUUAGUCGCAUUUUUCAUUAGGCUUUUUAUAUUAUUAACUUCUUAUUUGUACCAAAUACUAAAUUGUUCAAAUUUCAAAUGUUUGUCCCAAAAAACACCAGCUGGAUUGUUGACUGUGUGGUUUGCAUGCAUCAUUGGAAUCAAUCAAACAUUAGCAUCCAUUAAAAAA